CCUACGGGGGGCAGCAGUAGGGAAUUUUCGUCAAUGGGCGCAAGCCUGAACGAGCAAUGCCGCGUGAACGAGGAAGGUCUUCUGAUCGUAAAGUUCUGUUGAAGGGGAAAAAGAGCGGAGAGAGGAAAUGGUCUCCGAUUGAUAUUACCCUUCGAGGAAGUCACGGCUAACUACGUGCCAGCAGCCGCGGUAAUACGUAGGGGGCGAGCGUUAUCCGGAAUGGUUGGGCGUAAGGGGUGCGUAGGCGGCCUGCUAAGUCUGGAGUGAAAGGUACCGGCUCAACCGGUACAGGCUCUGGAAACUGGCGGGUUAGAGAGCAGGAGAGGGCGGUGGAACUCCAUGUGUAGCGGUAAAAGGCGUAGAUAUAUGGAAGAACACCAGUGGCGAAGGCGGCCGCCUGGCCUGUUGACUGACGCUGAGGCACGAAGGCGUGGGGAGCAAAUAGGAUUAGAUACCCCAGUAGUC
This 465-nucleotide ribosomal RNA is filed under the name uncultured bacterium. Its description in RNAcentral is "partial 16S ribosomal RNA". It matches the Rfam family "Bacterial small subunit ribosomal RNA", at positions 338 to 795 of the family's 1533-position model. The record is from RNAcentral.